AUGCAAUGCAUUGGGCCAUCACUUGAUGGUUUCGCCUACUUGUCUGCAUCGGAUACUAGGGGUGGUAUUCUCUUGGGAUGGGAUAGCUCGUUCUUGGUGAUCAGUAACAUCACUCGGGAUACUAACUUCCUCUCGGGUCUGGUUCGUAACAAAGAUGGCUUCGAAUGGUGCUUGUCGGCAGUGUAUGGACCCCAAGGGGAUGAGCUAAAAACUCAGUUCCUCGUGGAACUCCAGCUUAGAAGGGACGUGUUUCCGGGGCCCUGGAUGGUGCUUGGCGACUUUAAUAUGAUCAUUAGAGCUGAGGAGAAGAGCAAUUCGAACCUUUAUAGGGGCAUGAUGAGGAAGUUUAAGUCGUUCGUGGAUAACAACGAGCUCAAAGAUAUGUGCAUGGAAGGCGCUUCACAUGGUCCAACGAAAGAGAACAGGUGGUUAUGA
This 435-nucleotide ribosomal RNA is filed under the name Triticum aestivum (bread wheat). RNAcentral describes it as "partial small subunit ribosomal RNA". The record is from RNAcentral. Lineage: Eukaryota; Viridiplantae; Streptophyta; Magnoliopsida; Poales; Poaceae.